AAUAAACCAAUUUUUUAUUUUUUACCUUCAAUUUUUGACUUUUCGUCUUAUUUAACUUUUUUUGCGAUUGAUAUUUUUGUUUUUAUUAGAUGAUAAAUCAUGAAUAGUACUUUACGUGUGACUAAUUUUUUUCUAAUUUCCUGAAAAAUUUUUAAAUAAGACGGAUGAUCAAACGUUGGACACAAAAACCGAAGAAUUCGUUUUUU
Oryza brachyantha (malo sina) is the source of this 206-nucleotide non-coding RNA. The record is from Rfam. Lineage: Eukaryota; Viridiplantae; Streptophyta; Magnoliopsida; Poales; Poaceae.